ACGGACGAGAAGCUUGCUUCUCUGAUGUUAGCGGCGGACGGGUGAGUAACACGUGGAUAACCUACCUAUAAGACUGGGAUAACUUCGGGAAACCGGAGCUAAUACCGGAUAAUAUUUUGAACCGCAUGGUUCAAAAGUGAAAGACGGUCUUGCUGUCACUUAUAGAUGGAUCCGCGCUGCAUUAGCUAGUUGGUAAGGUAACGGCUUACCAAGGCAACGAUGCAUAGCCGACCUGAGAGGGUGAUCGGCCACACUGGAACUGAGACACGGUCCAGACUCCUACGGGAGGCAGCAGUAGGGAAUCUUCCGCAAUGGGCGAAAGCCUGACGGAGCAACGCCGCGUGAGUGAUGAAGGUCUUCGGAUCGUAAAACUCUGUUAUUAGGGAAGAACAUAUGUGUAAGUAACUGUGCACAUCUUGACGGUACCUAAUCAGAAAGCCACGGCUAACUACGUGCCAGCAGCCGCGGUAAUACGUAGGUGGCAAGCGUUAUCCGGAAUUAUUGGGCGUAAAGCGCGCGUAGGCGGUUUUUUAAGUCUGAUGUGAAAGCCCACGGCUCAACCGUGGAGGGUCAUUGGAAACUGGAAAACUUGAGUGCAGAAGAGGAAAGUGGAAUUCCAUGUGUAGCGGUGAAAUGCGCAGAGAUAUGGAGGAACACCAGUGGCGAAGGCGACUUUCUGGUCUGUAACUGACGCUGAUGUGCGAAAGCGUGGGGAUCAAA
RNAcentral lists this ribosomal RNA (720 nucleotides) under uncultured Staphylococcus sp. Its description in RNAcentral is "bacterial SSU rRNA". It matches the Rfam family "Bacterial small subunit ribosomal RNA", at positions 69 to 772 of the family's 1533-position model. Lineage: Bacteria; Bacillati; Bacillota; Bacilli; Caryophanales; Staphylococcaceae. The record is from RNAcentral.